CCUACGGGAGACAGCAGUGAGGAAUAUUGGUCAAUGGACGAGAGUCUGAACCAGCCAAGUAGCGUGAGGGAUGAAUGCCCAAUGGAUUGUAAACUUCUUUUAUAAGGGAAUAAAGUGUUGCACGUGUGCCAUUUUGUAUGUACCAUAUGAAUAAGGAUCGGCUAACUCCGUGCCAGCAGCCGCGGUAAUACGGAGGAUCCGAGCGUUAUCCGGAUUUAUUGGGUUUAAAGGGAGCGUAGGCGGAUUGUUAAGUCAGCUGUGAAAGUUCGGGGCUCAACCGUAGAAUUGCAGUUGAAACUGGCAGUCUUGAGUACGGUAGAGGUAGGCGGAAUUCGUGGUGUAGCGGUGAAAUGCUUAGAUAUCACGAAGAACUCCGAUUGCGAAGGCAG
Molecule: ribosomal RNA, 389 nt
Filed under: uncultured bacterium
Lineage: Bacteria
Description: partial 16S ribosomal RNA
Rfam family: Bacterial small subunit ribosomal RNA
Source: RNAcentral